ACCUGUUCCGGGACGCUGUGCGCGGCGUCCGGAACAUCAGACACACACUGUGCCCUGGGAAGAACUGGGCACUUCAGGGCGUU
Molecule: non-coding RNA, 83 nt
Organism: Streptomyces pratensis ATCC 33331
Lineage: Bacteria; Bacillati; Actinomycetota; Actinomycetes; Kitasatosporales; Streptomycetaceae
Source: Rfam